GUCUUAGCUUGCUAAGACUGAUGGCGACCGGCGCACGGGUGAGUAACACGUAUCCAACCUGCCGUCUACUCUUGGACAGCCUUCUGAAAGGAAGAUUAAUACAAGAUGGCAUCAUGAGUCCGCAUGUUCACAUGAUUAAAGGUAUUCCGGUAGACGAUGGGGAUGCGUUCCAUUAGAUAGUAGGCGGGGUAACGGCCCACCUAGUCUUCGAUGGAUAGGGGUUCUGAGAGGAAGGUCCCCCACAUUGGAACUGAGACACGGUCCAAACUCCUACGGGAGGCAGCAGUGAGGAAUAUUGGUCAAUGGGCGAGAGCCUGAACCAGCCAAGUAGCGUGAAGGAUGACUGCCCUAUGGGUUGUAAACUUCUUUUAUAAAGGAAUAAAGUCGGGUAUGUAUACCCGUUUGCAUGUACUUUAUGAAUAAGGAUCGGCUAACUCCGUGCCAGCAGCCGCGGUAAUACGGAGGAUCCGAGCGUUAUCCGGAUUUAUUGGGUUUAAAGGGAGCGUAGAUGGAUGUUUAAGUCAGUUGUGAAAGUUUGCGGCUCAACCGUAAAAUUGCAGUUGAUACUGGAUAUCUUGAGUGCAGUUGAGGCAGGCGGAAUUCGUGGUGUAGCGGUGAAAU
This 621-nucleotide ribosomal RNA is filed under the name uncultured Bacteroidales bacterium. Its description in RNAcentral is "bacterial SSU rRNA". It matches the Rfam family "Bacterial small subunit ribosomal RNA", at positions 72 to 687 of the family's 1533-position model. The record is from RNAcentral. Lineage: Bacteria; Pseudomonadati; Bacteroidota; Bacteroidia; Bacteroidales.